UUAGGAGUACCUGAUAAAAACAGCCUCAAAAAGUAACUUCAACACACCGGCGUUACAUUGCGACUCUACUGUACUCCAUAGUUUUUCCUCAAAGUUGUAUCUGUUUGAUUUUUUAAGGUUACGUAUCAGCUGUUCAUAUGCGAAAUGAAAACAAUUGGGGUUAGGAUUAAAAAUUAGGGAUUAAAAGGACUAAACGAAGUCAAUAAGCUUUUCAGUAAGAAUGCACAGCUGCACUUUAGUUUUAUGGAAAAUUUGAUGAUUUGUAAUUACUACAGAAAGUGAGACUAUAGAUUAUCAUUUAAGCUGAAAAACGGGACAAGAGCGCGCGGGCACAUCAGUUCGAAGACCUUUCAAAACAGAGGCGCAUUAAAUUAGAUUUAUACGUUUAAAAAAGGUUGUGUUUCUACUUGAAUGAUAAAAAAAACAAUGGCUCAACAAAAGUUCAAUUGGUUUUUCAAAAAGUUCAUUUUUCAUGUACCUAUGUGAGCUAAGAGUGUACUUACGGUGAUAACCCUGUGAUGGCCCCUGGUCUAUUUUCAAUCUCUCUGGAUUGAAAUAAAUUAACAAGAGAUGAAGCAGCGAGCUGACGAGGUUGCUACUGGUCUUCACGACGAUAUACCUGGCCACGUCUCUGCUGCGAAGCGAGGCGAAUCAAAUCGUCACGAAUUACCCGCGUCCCUCCAACAGCUCCUUCUAUUACGAAAUCGGCCACGGAAUUGAUCAGCUACUGUUCUUCACGAAAGGAACAUACAUUCAACGUUAUGUUAUCAUGACAGGUAUCACUGCUUUCUUCCAGGUUAUAGCCUGCGCUCUCGGAAUUUUUGCCUUGGAUAAGGGGCGACCAGAUUAUUUCCUACCAUGGCUCAUAAUGUUCAGUCAAACGUGUAUAACGGAGACGGGGGUCUCUUGCACAAAUCUCGCCAUCAUGAGUGUUUUAGGUCAAUAUCCGGAGUAUUUCAUAGCUGAUGCCAUCUCUGCAGUUUCGCAUGGUAUUUUCUUAGCGUAUUUCAUCUGGGUAGUGUUCAGUUUUUAUAAAAAAGAAAAGCUCAAAACAGGAAGACCAUUGCCAAGGGCACCUCCUUACUACCCGCCAUUUUUGGGAGAGACCAAUCCACCCUAUAACCCGGCUGUUCAAAGUAGAGCCAAAGCCUCAACAUUACCUGCUGGUUUUGACACUCAUUGCGAAUUCAUAAAAGAUGGAACUUAG
This 1207-nucleotide long non-coding RNA is filed under the name Bemisia tabaci. RNAcentral describes it as "lncRNA ENSSWEETPG013682". Lineage: Eukaryota; Metazoa; Arthropoda; Insecta; Hemiptera; Aleyrodidae. The record is from RNAcentral.